This 468-nucleotide ribosomal RNA is filed under the name uncultured bacterium. RNAcentral's name for it is "partial 16S ribosomal RNA". It matches the Rfam family "Bacterial small subunit ribosomal RNA", at positions 28 to 507 of the family's 1533-position model. The record is from RNAcentral.
GACGAACGCUGGCGGCGUGCUUAACACAUGCAAGUCGAACGGAAAGGCCCUGCUUUUGUGGGGUGCUCGAGUGGCGAACGGGUGGGUAACACGUGAGUAACCUGCCCUUGACUUUGGGAUAACUUCAGGAAACUGGGGCUAAUACCGGAUAGGAGCUCCUGCUGCAUGGUGGGGGUUGGAAAGUUUCGGCGGUUGGGGAUGGACUCGCGGCUUAUCAGCUUGUUGGUGGGGUAGUGGCUUACCAAGGCUUUGACGGGUAGCCGGCCUGAGAGGGUGACCGGCCACAUUGGGACUGAGAUACGGCCCAGACUCCUACGGGAGGCAGCAGUGGGCAAUAUUGCACAAUGGGCGGAAGCCUGAUGCAGCAACGCCGCGUGCGGGAUGACGGCCUUCGGGUUGUAAACCGCUUUCGCCUGUGACGAAGCGUGAGUGACGGUAAUGGGUAAAGAAGCACCGGCUAACUACGUG